GGUUUACCGAGCUUGGUAAGGUGACAUUCUGAAGGGCGAUUGCCUCAGAGAGGCGAUUGUUCUAGACGGAACAUCGUGGGUUCAAAUCCCACACUCAGCG
This 100-nucleotide transfer RNA is filed under the name Nitrososphaerota archaeon. Its description in RNAcentral is "Thaumarchaeota archaeon tRNA-Leu". Lineage: Archaea; Thermoproteati; Nitrososphaerota. The record is from RNAcentral.